GGCUAUGUAGCUCAGUUGGUUAGUAGCGCGGCACUCAUAAUGCCGAGGUCGGUGGUUCAAAUCCACCCAUAGCCACCA
This 78-nucleotide transfer RNA is filed under the name Gammaproteobacteria bacterium. RNAcentral describes it as "tRNA-Met". It matches the Rfam family "tRNA". Rfam says of the family: Transfer RNA (tRNA) molecules are approximately 80 nucleotides in length. Lineage: Bacteria; Pseudomonadati; Pseudomonadota; Gammaproteobacteria. The record is from RNAcentral. RNAcentral also lists the same sequence under 2 other names.